GGCCGAUCAGGAGCGGACGUCCGCACUUUCGCUAAAGUGCGGGUGUCGAUGCGGCAGGCGGCUUCCAGGAGGCGGCGACCGCGCGGGGCUGCCUGGAGGGAGGCCGGAGGCGUCCCAGAGCUCUUCUGGGCGGCGUUUGAGGUCGGAGGAGGUCGGGCUUGCCGGUUUCUGGGCAGCCACCUCACCUGAAGUUGCAGUUUCUGUGCAGCACCGCAGAACCGUCGCCGGUGACUCCACCGGACCGCAGACCCCUCCACGCUACCCCCAACGUCCCUCACACAAGCAGCGCCGCGCCGUCGCCUCUUGAUCAAGGCCGAAGGAGCGACGUCCUCACUUUUUCUGGGUUGCGGACGUCCGCUCUCGAACGGCUCCG
This 373-nucleotide long non-coding RNA is filed under the name Rosa chinensis. RNAcentral's name for it is "sRNA RchiOBHm_Chr1g0347311". The record is from RNAcentral. Lineage: Eukaryota; Viridiplantae; Streptophyta; Magnoliopsida; Rosales; Rosaceae.